This 81-nucleotide transfer RNA is filed under the name Sodalis glossinidius str. 'morsitans'. It matches the Rfam family "tRNA". Rfam says of the family: Transfer RNA (tRNA) molecules are approximately 80 nucleotides in length. Their secondary structure includes four short double-helical elements and three loops (D, anti-codon, and T loops). Lineage: Bacteria; Pseudomonadati; Pseudomonadota; Gammaproteobacteria; Enterobacterales; Bruguierivoracaceae. The record is from Rfam by way of RNAcentral.
GGUGGGGUUCCCGAACGACCAAAGAGAGCAGACUGUAAAUCUGCCGUCACAGACUUCGAAGGUUCGAAUCCUUCCCCACCA